UACGUAGGGAGCAAGCGUUGUCCGGAAUCAUUGGGCGUAAAGCGCGCGUAGGUGGCCUCAUAAGUCCGCUGUGAAAGUCAAAGGCUCAACCUUUGAAAGCCGGUGGAUACUGUGAGGCUAGAGUACGGAAGAGGCGAGUGGAAUUCCUGGUGUAGCGGUGGAAUGCGCAGAUAUCAGGAGGAACACCAAUAGCGAAGGCGGCUCACUGGCUCAUUUCUGACGCUCAGGCGCGACAGCGUGGGGAUCAAACAGG
This 253-nucleotide ribosomal RNA is filed under the name uncultured bacterium. RNAcentral describes it as "partial 16S ribosomal RNA". It matches the Rfam family "Bacterial small subunit ribosomal RNA", at positions 524 to 776 of the family's 1533-position model. The record is from RNAcentral.